AGAGUUUGAUCCUGGCUCAGAUUGAACGCUGGCGGCAUGCCUUACACAUGCAAGUCGAACGGCAGCGGGGACUUCGGUCCGCCGGCGAGUGGCGAACGGGUGAGUAAAGUAUCGGAACGUACCUUUCAGUGGGGGAUAACGUAGCGAAAGUUACGCUAAUACCGCAUAUUCUGUGAGCAGGAAAGCAGGGGAUCGCAAGACCUUGCGCUGAUUGAGCGGCCGAUAUCAGAUUAGCUAGUUGGUGGGGUAAAGGCCUACCAAGGCGACGAUCUGUAGCGGGUCUGAGAGGAUGAUCCGCCACACUGGGACUGAGACACGGCCCAGACUCCUACGGGAGGCAGCAGUGGGGAAUAUUGGACAAUGGGGGCAACCCUGAUCCAGCAAUGCCGCGUGUGUGAAGAAGGCCUGCGGGUUGUAAAGCACUUUUAGCGAUGAGGAAGGGUGAGUGUCGAAUAGGCAUUCACUUUGACGUUAGUCGCAGAAAAAGCACCGGCUAACUCUGUGCCAGCAGCCGCGGUAAUACAGAGGGUGCAAGCGUUAAUCGGAAUGACUGGGCGUAAAGGGUGCGUAGGUGGCCUAUUAAGUUAGUUGUGAAAUCCCCGGGCUUAACCUGGGAACUGCAAUUGAUACUGGUAAGCUAGAGUUUGGAAGAGGAUAGUGGAAUUUCCGGUGUAGCGGUGAAAUGCGUAGAUAUCGGAAGGAACACCAGUGGCGAAGGCGACUAUCUGGCCCAAAACUGACACUGAGGCACGAAAGCGUGGGUAGCGAACAGGAUUAGAUACCCUGGUAGUCCACGCCGUAAACGAUGAGAACUAGAUGAAGGAUAGGUUAAACCUAUUUUGUAUCGAAGCUAACGCGUUAAGUUCUCCGCCUGGGGAGUACGGUCGCAAGAUUAAAACUCAAAGAAAUUGACGGGGACCCGCACAAGCGGUGGAGCAUGUGGUUUAAUUCGAUGCAACGCGAAGAACCUUACCUACCCUUGACAUGUAUAGAAGUCUGAAGAGAUUUGGACGUGCCCGCAAGGGAGCUAUAACACAGGUGCUGCAUGGCUGUCGUCAGCUCGUGUCGUGAGAUGUUGGGUUAAGUCCCGUAACGAGCGCAACCCUUGUCCUUAGUUGCCAACACGUAAAGGUGGGAACUCUAAGGAGACUGCCGGUGAUAAACCGGAGGAAGGUGGGGAUGACGUCAAGUCCUCAUGGCCCUUAUGGGUAGGGCUACACACGUGCUACAAUGGGCGUUACAGAGGGAAGCGAAGCCGCGAGGUGGAGCGAAUCUCACAAAGGCGUUCGUAGUCCGGAUUGAAGUCUGGAACUCGACUUCAUGAAGUCGGAAUCGCUAGUAAUCGCGGAUCAGCAUGCCGCGGUGAAUACGUUCUCGGGUCUUGUACACACCGCCCGUCACACCAUGGGAGUGGAUGGUACCAGAAGUAGGUAGGUUAACCGCAAGGGGGCCGCUUACCACGGUAUAGUUCAUGACUGGGGUGAAGUCGUAACAAGGUAGCCGUAGGGGAACCUGCGGCUGGAUCACCUCCUU
RNAcentral lists this ribosomal RNA (1533 nucleotides) under uncultured bacterium. Its description in RNAcentral is "partial 16S ribosomal RNA". It matches the Rfam family "Bacterial small subunit ribosomal RNA". The record is from RNAcentral.